RNAcentral lists this ribosomal RNA (253 nucleotides) under uncultured bacterium. RNAcentral's name for it is "partial 16S ribosomal RNA". It matches the Rfam family "Bacterial small subunit ribosomal RNA", at positions 524 to 776 of the family's 1533-position model. The record is from RNAcentral.
UACAGAGGGUGCAAGCGUUAAUCGGAUUUACUGGGCGUAAAGCGCGCGUAGGUGGCCAAUUAAGUCAAAUGUGUAAUCCCCGAGCUUAACUUGGGAAUUGCAUUCGAUACUGGUUGGCUAGAGUAUGGGAGAGGAUGGUAGAAUUCCAGGUGUAGCGGUGAAAUGCGUAGAGAUCUGGAGGAAUACCGAUGGCGAAGGCAGCCAUCUGGCCUAAUACUGACACUGAGGUGCGAAAGCAUGGGGAGCAAACAGG